AGGGAUAUAGCUCAGUGGUAGAGCAUGUGCUUAGCAUGCACAAGGUCCUGGGUUCGAUCCCCAGUAUUUCCA
Molecule: transfer RNA, 72 nt
Filed under: Vicugna pacos (alpaca)
Lineage: Eukaryota; Metazoa; Chordata; Mammalia; Artiodactyla; Camelidae
Description: tRNA-Ala (AGC) (tRNA-Ala-AGC-529-1)
Rfam family: tRNA
About the family: Transfer RNA (tRNA) molecules are approximately 80 nucleotides in length. Their secondary structure includes four short double-helical elements and three loops (D, anti-codon, and T loops). Further hydrogen bonds mediate the characteristic L-shaped molecular structure. tRNAs have two regions of fundamental functional importance: the anti-codon, which is responsible for specific mRNA codon recognition, and the 3' end, to which the tRNAs corresponding amino acid is attached (by aminoacyl-tRNA synthetases). tRNAs cope with the degeneracy of the genetic code in two manners: having more than one tRNA (with a specific anti-codon) for a particular amino acid; and 'wobble' base-pairing, i.e. permitting non-standard base-pairing at the 3rd anti-codon position.
Source: Rfam by way of RNAcentral